Molecule: microRNA precursor, 203 nt
Filed under: Oryza nivara
Lineage: Eukaryota; Viridiplantae; Streptophyta; Magnoliopsida; Poales; Poaceae
Description: MIR812 microRNA precursor family
Rfam family: MIR812 microRNA precursor family
Source: Rfam by way of RNAcentral
AAAAAGGCAAACCCUAAAUUUCUGUGUCCAACUUUGACUGUCCGUCUUAUAUGAAAUUUUUUAUAAUUCGUAUUUUCAUUGUUGUUAGAUGAUAAAACAUGAUUAAUAUUUUAUGCGUGACUUGUCUUUUUAAUUUUUUUAUAUUUUUUUUAAAUAAGACGGACGGUCAAAUGUUAGGCACGGAAACCAGGGUUUGUCUUUUU